Molecule: ribosomal RNA, 269 nt
Filed under: uncultured Staphylococcus sp.
Lineage: Bacteria; Bacillati; Bacillota; Bacilli; Caryophanales; Staphylococcaceae
Description: partial 16S ribosomal RNA
Rfam family: Bacterial small subunit ribosomal RNA
Source: RNAcentral
GUGCCAGCAGCCGCGGUAAUACGUAGGUGGCAAGCGUUAUCCGGAAUUAUUGGGCGCAAAGCGCGCGUAGGCGGUUUUUUAAGUCUGAUGUGAAAGCCCACGGCUCAACUGUGGAGGGUCAUUGGAGACUGGAAAACUUGAGUGCAGAAGAGGAAAGUGGAAUUCCAUGUGUAGCGGUGAAAUGCGCAGAGAUAUGGAGGAACACCAGUGGCGAAGGCGACUUCCUGGUCUGUAACUGACGCUGAUGUGCGAAAGCGUGGGGAUCAAAC